UGUGUCUGUGUGUGUGUGUGUGUCUGUGUGUGUGUGUGUAGAGGGGGAAACGGCCACUGAACCUAGCAGAGAAAAACAGAAGGGGGAAAGUGUCUGCAUACAAUUGUAAGCAGCCCUGAAACUGUCAGCAGGAAAUCGACACAGAAGCCUUGAUUGGAACUAGGACCCCACUCCACAGUUGUCAUUUCUUUAGGAUAGAACUGGGAGCCAGUGUGGUGUGGUGGUUAAGAGCGGUAGACUUGUAAUCUGGUGAACCGGGUUCGCGUCUCCGCUCCUCCACAUGCAGCUGCUGGGUGACCUUGGGCUAGUCACACUUCUCUGAAGUCUCUCAGCCCCACUCACCUCACAGAGUGUUUGUUGUGGGGGAGGAAGGGAAAGGAGAAUGUUAGCCGCUUUGAGACUCCUUCUGGUAGUGAUAAAGCGGGAUAUCAAAUCCAAACUCCUCCUCCUCCUCCUCCUCCUCCUCCUCCUCCUCCUCCUCCUCCUCCUCCUCCUCUUCUUCUUCUUCUUCUUCUUCUUCCUCCUCCUCCUCCUCCUCCUCCUCCUCCUCCUCCCUGUUUAAAAGGAGGCAUGGGGAAUCUUCUAUAGCCCAAGGACCAAGUAUUCUUGUGAAUAAACUCCCAGUGGUUUGCUGGUGCCAGGGUUAAAAGUGGGUAAAGCCAGAGUCAAACCUGGGUGGGACAAUGGAUAUGAAUCUGAUAGUAGGCUACAUUCUACCUAUGCAAAAGUCAGAGAUUCACACACACACACACACACACACACACACACACACACACUUACACUUCAAUUCUCUUUCCAGGUAAGCAAGAGACAUCGCCAUAGUCUGACGAUGUUGGCGUUUGGUACCUAUAUUUUGAAGAAAUAAAUAGUCUGGUAAGAUUGCUGGCUGGAGGAAUAAAGAAGGCUUAUUACUUUUGGCAAACAAAGCCAUACUAAGUACAAGCUUUCUGCGGGCAUCACAGAAGAGGAAGGUUUAAUGCUAACUGAGGGGGAAGGAAGGAAGUAAAGCCAGAGAGAGAGAGAGAGAGAGAGAGAGAGAGAGAGAGAGCAAUCUAAAAGUAGUUACUCAAGAAGGAAUCAGUAAGGAAAAAUAGGUUGCCUUUCUGUCUAUCUCCCCCAACUGGUCCAGGCAACGUAUUACAAGCAUUGCUGCUUUACCCCCAACAUAAGACUGAUUCCAACCAGCCAAAAGCAGCCGAGGAGAGUCCCAAGAGUUAGAGAGAGAGGCCUGGCAGGCCAGAUUCUGCUCAUGGGAUGGAGGUUCCCCACCCCUAUUAGAAAGCAUGAAUAAUGUAAUGUGUAAUUUGGCCGUCACUCGAAUUGCAAGGGAGGUAUUUCUUCUUGAACAGCUGAUUGCAAGAAGCCGCUUCACCACCUAAAACAAACAGGCCUCUCCUAAUAAAUAAACCUGACUUGCUUGCCAUGAGAUUGGAGCCUGCCACAAUCUCCAGGGAAGGAUUAUGAACAACGUGUUAACAGCUCAAAACAUUUACAUCUUGCCG
Podarcis lilfordi (Lilford's wall lizard) is the source of this 1502-nucleotide non-coding RNA. Lineage: Eukaryota; Metazoa; Chordata; Lepidosauria; Squamata; Lacertidae. The record is from the annotation of a GenBank genome assembly.